This 79-nucleotide transfer RNA is filed under the name Myxococcales bacterium. RNAcentral's name for it is "tRNA-Ala". The record is from RNAcentral. Lineage: Bacteria; Pseudomonadati; Myxococcota; Myxococcia; Myxococcales.
GGGGCAUGGGGCUGCCAGGGGUGGCCAUCUGGUUUGCACCCAGAACGACAGCUCGGUUCGAGUCCGAGAUGCUCCACCA